GACGAACGCUGGCGGCGUGCUUAACACAUGCAAGUCGAACGCUGAAGCCCUUUCGGGGGUGGAUGAGUGGCGAGCGGGUGAGUAACACGUGGGUAAUCUGCCCUGUACUUCGGGAUAAGCCUUGGAAGCGGGGUCUAAUACCGGAUAGGACCUGUCCUCGCAUGGGGGUGGGUGGAAAGUUCCGGCGGUAUGGGAUGAGCCCGCGGCCUAUCAGCUUGUUGGUGGGGUAGUGGCCUACCAAGGCGACGACGGGUAGCCGGCCUGAGAGGGUGGCCGGUCACACUGGGACUGAGACACGGCCCAGACUCCUACGGGAGGCAGCAGUGGGGAAUCUUGCGCAAUGGGCGAAAGCCUGACGCAGCAACGCCGCGUGGGGGAUGACGGCCUUCGGGUUGUAAACCUCUUUCGACAUCGACGAAGGGGCCCUGUUGUGGGGUUUUGACGGUAGGUGUAGAAGAAGCACCGGCUAACUACGUGCCAGCCGCCGCGGUAA
RNAcentral lists this ribosomal RNA (493 nucleotides) under uncultured bacterium. Its description in RNAcentral is "partial 16S ribosomal RNA". It matches the Rfam family "Bacterial small subunit ribosomal RNA", at positions 28 to 523 of the family's 1533-position model. The record is from RNAcentral.